Molecule: unclassified non-coding RNA, 3912 nt
Filed under: Homalodisca vitripennis (glassy-winged sharpshooter)
Lineage: Eukaryota; Metazoa; Arthropoda; Insecta; Hemiptera; Cicadellidae
Description: uncharacterized LOC124356118, transcript variant X1
Source: RNAcentral
UGUCAAGUGGACUGUGUAUCAUACUUGGUUAUUUGUGUAAGCAUUCAAACUGUACCUCACAACAGUUGCUGUCAGGUGGACUGUGUAUCAUACUUGGUUAUUUGUGUAAGCAUUCAAACUGUACCUCACAACAGUUGCUGUCAUAUAGACUACGUAUCAUACUUGGUUAUUUGUGUAAGCAUUCAAACUGUACCUCACAACAGUUGCUGUCAAGUGGACUGUGUAUCAUACUUGGUUAUUUGUGUAAGCAUUCAAACUGUACCUCACAACAGUUGCUGUCAGGUGGACUGUGUAUCAUACUUGGUUAUUUGUGUAAGCAUUCAAACUGUACCCCACAACAGUUGAUGUCAGGUGGACUGUGUAUCAUACUUGGUUAUUUGUGUAAGCAUUCAAACUGUACCCCACAACAGUUGCUGUCAAGUAGACUGUGUAUCACACUUGGUUAUUUGUGUAGGCAUUCAAACUGUACCCCACAACAGUUGAUGUCAGGUGGACUGUGUAUCAUACUUGGUUAUUUGUGUAAGCAUUCAAACUGUACCUCACAACAGUUGCUGUCAAGUAGACUGUGUAUCACACUUGGUUAUUUGUGUAGGCAUUCAAACUGUACCCCACAACAGUUGAUGUCAGGUGGACUGUGUAUCAUACUUGGUUAUUUGUGUAAUCAGACAAACUGUACCUCACAACAGUUGCUGUCAGGUGGACUGUGUAUCACACUUGGUUAUUUGUGUAGGCAUUCAAACUGUACCUCACAACAGUUGCUGUCAAGUAGACUGUGUAUCACACUUGGUUAUUUGUGUAGGCAUUCAAUCUGUACCCCACAACAGUUGAUGUCAGGUGGACUGUGUAUCAUACUUGGUUAUUUGUGUAAGCAUUCAAACUAUACCCCACAACAGUUGCUGUCAGGUGGACUGUGUAUCACACUUGGUUAUUUUUGUAGGCAUUCAAACUAUACCCCACAACAGUUGAUGUCAGGUGGACUGUGAAUCAUACUUGGUUAUUUGUGUAAGCAUUCAAACUGUACCUCACAACAGUUGCUGUUAGGUGGACUGUGUAUCACACUUGGUUAUUUGCUGUAAUCAGACAAACUGUACAUCACAACAGUUGCUGUCAGGUAGACUGUGUAUCACACUUUGUUAUUUUGUGUAGGCAUUCAAACUGUACCUCACAACAGUUGCUGUCAUAUAGACUACGUAUCAUACUUGGUUAUUUGUGUAGGCAUUCAAACUGUACCUCACAACAGUUGCUGUCAUAUAGACUACGUAUCAUACUUGGUUAUUUGUGUAGGCAUUCAAACUGUACCUCACAAAAGUUGCUGUCAGGUGGACUGUGUAUCACACUUGGUUAUCUGUGUAAUCAGACAAACUGUACAUUACAAAAGUUGCUGUCAUAUAGACUAUGUAUCAUACUUGGUUAUUUGUGUAGGCAUUCAAACUGUACAUCACAAAUGUUGCUGUCAGGUAGACUGUGUAUCACACUUGGUUAUCUGUGUAAUCAGACAAACUGUACAUUACAAAAGUUGCUGUCAUAUAGACUAUGUAUCAUACUUGGUUAUUUGUGUAGGCAUUCAAACUGUACCUCACAAAAGUUGCUGUCAGGUGGACUGUGUAUCAUACUUGGUUAUUUGUGUAGGCAUUCAAACUGUACCUCACAACAGUUGCUGUCAGGUGGACUGUGUAUCACACUUGGUUAUUUGUGUAGGCAUUCAAACUGUACCUCACAACAGUUGCUGUCAGGUGGACUGUGUAUCACAUUUGGUUAUCUGUGUAAUCAGACAAACUGUACAUUACAAAAGUUGCUGUCAUAUAGACUAUGUAUCAUACUUGGUUAUUUGUGUAGGCAUUCAAACUGUACCUCACAAAAGUUGCUGUCAGGUGGACUGUGUAUCACACUUGGUUAUCUGUGUAAUCAGACAAACUGUACAUUACAAAAGUUGCUGUCAUAUAGACUAUGUAUCAUACUAGGUUAUUUGUGUAGGCAUUCAAACUGUACCUCACCAAAGUUGCUGUCAGGUGGACUGUGUAUCAUACUUGGUUAUUUGUGUAGGCAUUCAAACUGUACCUCACAACAGUUGCUGUCAGGUGCACUGUGUAUCACACUUGGUUAUUUGUGUAGGCAUUCAAACUGUACAUCACAACAGUUACUGUCAUAUAGACUAUGUAUCAUACUUGGUUAUUUGUGUAAGCAUUCAAACUGUACCUCACAAAAGUUGCUGUCAGGUGGACUGUGUAUCAUACUUGGUUAUUUGUGUAGGCAUUCAAACUGUACCUCACAACAGUUGCUGUCAGGUAGACUGUGUAUCACACUUGGUUAUUUGUGUAGGCAUUCAAACUGUACCUCACAAAAGUUGCUGUCAGGUGGACUGUGUAUCACACUUGGUUAUUUGUGUAGGCAUUCAAACUGUACAUCACAAAAGUUGCUGUCAGGUGGACUGUGUAUCACACUUGGUUAUUUGCUGUAAUCAGACAGACUGUACCUCACAAAAGUUGCUGUCAGGUAGACUGUGUAUCACACUUGGUUAUUUGUGUAGGCAUUCAAACUGUACCUCACAACAGUUACUGUCAUAUAGACUAUGUGUCACACUUGGUUAUUUGCUGUAAUCAGACAAACUGUACAUCACAACAGUUGCUGUCAUAUAGACUAUGUAUCAUACUUGGUUAUUUGCUGUAAUCAGACAAACUGUACCUCACAAAAGUUGCUGUCAGGUGGACUGUGUAUCACACUUGGUUAUCUGUGUAAUCAGACAAACUGUACCUCACAAAAGUUGCUGUCAGGUGGACUGUGUAUCACACUUGGUUAUUUGCUGUAAUCAGACAGACUGUACAUCGCAACAGACAAAACCUUUAUCUGACAAACAAUAUUUGGGGAUUCCGUAAACAAGUUAAUCUGUGGUGCUAACAAAACAGAAUGGGUAUUGUGAUUAUGUUGACUGAUUAUUUGUAGGUGAUCACCCCUCACUAAAUCCAUGACACUUUAAGAAUCCCAUUCAAAUACGAGAGCAUCUUUUAAAACGCUGCAAUCUGCCCACAGACAUCGCCUUGAUCCACGACGAGUCCGGAGUGAAAUAUCAGUGCUUGAAGUGUGACAAGAUCUACGUACAUAGGCGCAGUCUCCGCAAACACCAGCGGUAUCAGUGCGGGGACAAGCGUCCCUUUAGCUGUCAUCUCUGUCCGUACAGUGCCAAACAGAAGAUACACCUCAGGUCUCAUCUCGCCAGCCACCACAAGGAGUACUCUUGUCCUCCCUGAACUAUGUGUAUUCAGAUAUAUGGCGUAUUUUCUUUGUUGGUUGUCUUAGAAAUGUUGGCCUAAUAUUAUGAGUGUUUCAAUGUUCAAAAGUUCUUGUGAAUAUUAUUGUACAAAGUUGAUAUUCAACAAAUUUGUUUAUUUAACUUUGGGAAGCAACAAUAUCGGUAUAUUCAUCUCGAUUCAGGUUUGUGUUUUUGGUUUGUGCUUCCCAUGUUUAAGUAUACUGACUAGAAAUCUGCUACGUUUGUGACAAGUCUAUGGCCGACUGUAUUUUGUUUUUAUUUGUUUAUAUUGCUAGAAAAGUCUCCAGAAUUGUUGAAUUUGCCUUCUGGUUCAGUUGAUAAAUAUCAAAUACAUUUUGUGACACCAGUUAGUCAUUACAUUUUUGGAACCCUAAAAAGUGGGAUUGUGUUGUGGGAAAUUUGAUAUUCUGAAACAACGCAUCAUUGUAGACCACGUAUUGCCUGUAAGAUAUGUUGGAUAUGCUGACACAACGGACAUUUUAUAUUUUAUUAAAUAAGAUUGUUUUUCUUUAGUUCCAAUAUGGCUAAUGUUUUAAAGUGUUUUACUACAUUUUCUCUUAGUCAAGUAAAUAUAAGGUAUUAUUCAGUUAUUUUACAAAAUGAAACGUAUUUUAAUGUGAAUAAUAAAAUCUUUAUAACACCUA